RNAcentral lists this ribosomal RNA (496 nucleotides) under uncultured bacterium. RNAcentral's name for it is "partial 16S ribosomal RNA". It matches the Rfam family "Bacterial small subunit ribosomal RNA", at positions 28 to 506 of the family's 1533-position model. The record is from RNAcentral.
GAUGAACGCUGGCGGCGUGCCUAAUACAUGCAAGUCGAGCGAACAGAUGAGGAGCUUGCUCCUCUGACGUUAGCGGCGGACGGGUGAGUAACACGUGGAUAACCUACCUAUAAGACUGGGAUAACUUCGGGAAACCGGAGCUAAUACCGGAUAAUAUAUUGAACCGCAUGGUUCAAUAGUGAAAGACGGUUUUGCUGUCACUUAUAGAUGGAUCCGCGCCGCAUUAGCUAGUUGGUAAGGUAACGGCUUACCAAGGCAACGAUGCGUAGCCGACCUGAGAGGGUGAUCGGCCACACUGAAACUGAGAAACGGUCCAGACUCCAACGGGAGGCAGCAGUAGGGAAUCUUCCGCAAUGGGCGAAAGCUUGACGGAGCAACGCCGCGUGAGUGAUGAAGGUCUUCGGAUCGUAAAACUCUGUUAUUAGGGAAGAACAAAUGUGUAAGUAACUAUGCACGUCUUGACGGUACCUAAUCAGAAAGCCACGGCUAACUACGU